UAGGGAAUAUUGGACAAUGGGGGCAACCCUGAUCCAGCCAUGCCGCGUGAGUGAAGAAGGCCCUCGGGUUGUAAAGCUCUUUUGUCCGGAAAGAAAAGCUUCGGGUUAAUACCCCGUGGUUCUGACGGUACCGGAAGAAUAAGCACCGGCUGACUUCGUGCCAGCAGCCGCGGUAAUACGAAGGGUGCAAGCGUUACUCGGAAUUACUGGGCGUAAAGCGUGCGUAGGUGGUUGUUUAAGUCUGAUGUGAAAGCCCUGGGCUCAACCUGGGAAUGGCAUUGGAAACUGGGCAGCUAGAGUGCGGUAGAGGGUAGUGGAAUUCCCGGUGUAGCAGUGAAAUGCGUAGAGAUCGGGAGGAACAUCUGUGGCGAAGGCGACUGCCUGGACCAGCACUGACACUGAGGCACGAAAGCGUGGGGAGCAAACAG
Molecule: ribosomal RNA, 428 nt
Filed under: uncultured bacterium
Lineage: Bacteria
Description: bacterial SSU rRNA
Rfam family: Bacterial small subunit ribosomal RNA
Source: RNAcentral